This 377-nucleotide unclassified non-coding RNA is filed under the name Hevea brasiliensis (rubber tree). The record is from RNAcentral. Lineage: Eukaryota; Viridiplantae; Streptophyta; Magnoliopsida; Malpighiales; Euphorbiaceae.
UCAGUCAUCAACUUAUGGGAAGGUUCUGGUUUUGGAUGGGGUGAUUCAGCUUACUGAGAGAGAUGAAUGUGCUUACCAAGAGAUGAUCACCCACCUCCCACUUUGCUCAAUUCCAAACCCCAAAAAGGUUCUAGUUAUUGGUGGAGGAGAUGGCGGUGUCUUACGAGAGGUGGCUCGUCAUUCAUCUGUUGAGCAGAUAGAUAUCUGUGAAAUUGACAAGAUGGUAGUUGACGUUUCCAAAGAAUUUUUCCCUCGCGUAGCUGUUGGGUAUGAGGAUCCUCGCGUCACUCUUCAUGUUGGUGAUGGCGUUGCAUUUCUGAAGGCUGUUCCUGAAGGCACUUAUGAUGCAAUUAUAGUGGAUUCUUCUGAUCCUAUUG